UCUAUAAUAGUUUAUCUAAAACUUUAAUUUUGUAAAUUAAAAUAAAAUAAUUAUAUUAUUUUUAUAGAU
RNAcentral lists this transfer RNA (69 nucleotides) under Primeuchroeus sp. M48. RNAcentral's name for it is "tRNA-Thr". Lineage: Eukaryota; Metazoa; Arthropoda; Insecta; Hymenoptera; Chrysididae. The record is from RNAcentral.